UGGGGAAUAUUGCACAAUGGGGGAAACCCUGAUGCAGCGACGCCGCGUGAGUGAAGAAGUAUUUCGGUACGUAAAGCUCUAUCAGCAGGGAAGAAAAAAAGUCCUUUGGACUUUGGACGGUACCUGACCAAGAAGCCCCGGCUAACUACGUGCCAGCAGCCGCGGUAAUACGUAGGGGGCAAGCGUUAUCCGGAUUUACUGGGUGUAAAGGGAGCGUAGACGGCAGCGCAAGUCUGGAGUGAAAUGCCGGGGCCCAACCCCGGAACUGCUUUGGAAACUGUGCAGCUCGAGUGCAGGAGAGGUAAGCGGAAUUCCUAGUGUAGCGGUGAAAUGCGUAGAUAUUAGGAGGAAUACCAGUGGCGAAGGCGGCUUACUGGACUGUAACUGACGUUGAGGCUCGAAAGCGUGGGGAGCAAACAGG
This 421-nucleotide ribosomal RNA is filed under the name uncultured bacterium. RNAcentral's name for it is "bacterial SSU rRNA". It matches the Rfam family "Bacterial small subunit ribosomal RNA", at positions 355 to 776 of the family's 1533-position model. The record is from RNAcentral.